RNAcentral lists this ribosomal RNA (309 nucleotides) under Klebsiella pneumoniae. RNAcentral's name for it is "bacterial LSU rRNA". It matches the Rfam family "Bacterial large subunit ribosomal RNA", at positions 1392 to 1703 of the family's 2925-position model. The record is from RNAcentral. Lineage: Bacteria; Pseudomonadati; Pseudomonadota; Gammaproteobacteria; Enterobacterales; Enterobacteriaceae.
UAAGGCGAGGCCGAAAGGCGUAGUCGAUGGGAAACAGGUUAAUAUUCCUGUACUUGGUGUUACUGCGAAGGGGGGACGGAGAAGGCUAUGUUAGCCGGGCGACGGUUGUCCCGGUUUAAGCAUGUAGGCUGGUUAUCCAGGCAAAUCCGGAUAAUCAAGGCUGAGGUGUGAUGACGAGGCACUACGGUGCUGAAGUAACAAAUGCCCUGCUUCCAGGAAAAGCCUCUAAGCAUCAGGUAACAUCAAAUCGUACCCCAAACCGACACAGGUGGUCAGGUAGAGAAUACCAAGGCGCUUGAGAGAACUCGG